UUAACAACUCAAAUGGCUUUUUUUUUAAUGCUAGGAAAAAUGUUCACCUUUCAAUGGUGACAGUACUGUUAACACAGGUAGAGAGUCAACAAGGUAAAAAGUGAAAGCACAUACAGACACACACAAAUAUAUAAAAUUUGACCAGAAAUCACAGGACAUUUAAGCAAUGUUUUCUUAAGUAGAAACAUCUACCGUCUACAUCACAGUGCACAGAGAGGAUGCAGUCUGCAGACUACCACAGGGGAACAAGAACAGACUCUGCACCCUUCAUAUUGCAUUACAAAAUCAAUGCCGUCUUAGAGGAAUCUUGCCUCCCGUGUCGGUGUCAUAGCUGGCAAGCACCUGAGGGCUAGGAGGCUAUCAGAACUGAGGGUGCUGCUCAGAGUGGAUCAGAACACCAGUUCCUUGAUCUGCCCCUGGCUGAUGCAUUUAGUAAUCACAAUACGACAUUCACUGAGAAUAAACAUAAAAAUGCCACAUUUUGG
RNAcentral lists this long non-coding RNA (485 nucleotides) under Bos taurus (domestic cattle). RNAcentral describes it as "long non-coding RNA NONBTAT015199". The record is from RNAcentral. Lineage: Eukaryota; Metazoa; Chordata; Mammalia; Artiodactyla; Bovidae.